GUAGGAUAGAAAUAAAUUGUAUUAGUUGAGAAGUUAAACGGGAAGUUAAGAGAGAGGUUAAUUUUAUAGGUAAAAUUUGUUAAAUUGAAUGUUUUUUAUAGUGGAAGGUUGAAGCUUUGAAAAUUAAAGUUGAAACUAGGAUUAGAUACCCUAUUAUUUUAAUUGUAAAGAGAGGAAACUUGAGUAGUAUUAGUUAAGUACUUGAAACUCAAAGAAUUUGGCGGUGUCUUAGUCUUUUCAGAGGAAUCUGUCCUGUAAUCGAUAUUACACGUUAAAUGUUACUUAAUUUGGUAUAGUCAAUUUGUAUACCGCCGUCAUAAGAUCAUCUUUUUAGAGAAAGAAUUUUCUUGAUAUUAUAAGAUAAGAUGUCAGGUCAAGGUGCAGUUUAUAAUUAAGUAGGAGAUGGAUUACAAUAAAUGUAUUUAAAUGGAUUCUUUAUUGGGAAAUGAAGAUGAAGGUGGAUUUGAAGGUAAUUUUGUUAAAUUAUGAUAAAAUGAUUUAAGCUCUAGGACAUGUACACAUCGCCCGUCGCUCUCGUUAUUAAGAUGAGAUAAGUCGUAACAUAGUAGUUGUACUGGAAAGUGUAACUAGAAAGUCCA
This 599-nucleotide ribosomal RNA is filed under the name Poecilimon luschani. RNAcentral describes it as "partial 12S ribosomal RNA". The stretch from base 182 to 590 matches the Rfam family "Microsporidia small subunit ribosomal RNA", at positions 752 to 1303 of the family's 1311-position model. Lineage: Eukaryota; Metazoa; Arthropoda; Insecta; Orthoptera; Tettigoniidae. The record is from RNAcentral.